This 253-nucleotide ribosomal RNA is filed under the name uncultured bacterium. Its description in RNAcentral is "partial 16S ribosomal RNA". It matches the Rfam family "Bacterial small subunit ribosomal RNA", at positions 524 to 776 of the family's 1533-position model. The record is from RNAcentral.
UACGUAGGGCGCAAGCGUUGUCCGGAAUUAUUGGGCGUAAAGAGCUCGUAGGCGGCCUGUCGCGUCUGCUGUGAAAUCCCGGGGCUCAACCCCGGGCCUGCAGUGGAUACGGGCUGGCUGGAGGCAGGCAGGGGAGAACGGAAUUCCUGGUGUAGCGGUGAAAUGCGCAGAUAUCAGGAGGAACACCGGUGGCGAAGGCGGUUCUCUGGGCCUGUUCUGACGCUGAGGAGCGAAAGCGUGGGGAGCGAACAGG